UACGUAGGGAGCAAGCGUUGUUCGGAUUUACUGGGCGUAAAGGGCGCGUAGGCGGCGCGGUAAGUCACUUGUGAAAUCUCUGAGCUUAACUCAGAACGGCCAAGUGAUACUGCAGUGCUAGAGUGCAGAAGGGGCAAUCGGAAUUCUUGGUGUAGCGGUGAAAUGCGUAGAUAUCAAGAGGAACACCUGAGGUGAAGACGGGUUGCUAGGCUGACACUGACGCUGAGGCGCGAAAGCGUGGGGAGCGAACAGG
This 253-nucleotide ribosomal RNA is filed under the name uncultured bacterium. Its description in RNAcentral is "partial 16S ribosomal RNA". It matches the Rfam family "Bacterial small subunit ribosomal RNA", at positions 524 to 776 of the family's 1533-position model. The record is from RNAcentral.